Molecule: transfer RNA, 70 nt
Filed under: Rasbora maninjau
Lineage: Eukaryota; Metazoa; Chordata; Actinopteri; Cypriniformes; Danionidae
Description: tRNA-Tyr
Rfam family: tRNA
About the family: Transfer RNA (tRNA) molecules are approximately 80 nucleotides in length. Their secondary structure includes four short double-helical elements and three loops (D, anti-codon, and T loops).
Source: RNAcentral
GGUAGAGUGGCCGAGCAUUAGGCGGCGGUUUGUAGCACCGUGUACAGAGGUUUAAGUCCUUUUUCUAUCA